GUCAUGAAACAUUCAACCAUUUCAGAUUCGAUUCGAUUUAAGCCAAAUAAAAUUAUCAGCUUAUGCGACACUCUUAGAUAUUUAUUGAUUAGUUGAACCAAAAAAAACAGACACACACACACACACACAAUAAAGACAAAAGAAAUCCAUCAAAUUGAUAUGAUUCAGUGCCAUUCGGUUUAAAGAUUAUAUUCGAAAAAUUACCAGCGACACAUACCGUUCAUGCACACUAAACGAUGAAUAGCGCAAUUGAACAAAAGUCAUCGAUUUUAAAAAUACAACAUGAAAUAUGCAUACAUUAACGGGCAUAGAACAUUGAGAUAACAUCGCGACAAAGAUAUUGAGCUCUCUCAGUCAGUAAUAAUGGCUCUUCUUACGUAUGUAUCAUUAUCGUCGAUGAAAUAAUAACCUGAUUUUCAGCAAACAUGGAGUAAAAAAUCAUCGCUCUUUCUCGUUGCAAACAUAGACUUUCUUUCUUCGGUUCUUCGUCUUUUUUCUUCUUUUAUUUCUGUUCUGCCAAAUUGUCGCUCUCGCUUACUUGAACCGUAGAAUAUUUUCCGUCGUUUGUGUAUUGAAUGCCGCACACAUAUCCACCGUUCCCUCUUCGGUUGGCAAUUCUAUCCAGAAUUCGUUCUGUUGCCCAUCAUCACACACACCACUACCAACACACCCAUAAACAGCGAAGACAAGAUGAAACGCACUGGAUUUUAUACACAUGGAACGAAAUGAGACCCAUCAUUCUUCUCAACGAAAUUUGUAGAUAUAUACAAAAUGAUUUUGAUGCGAUCACGUCUUUUUUCUAUAAUAUUUUUUUUUGGAAACGUGCGCGUUUAAUGUUGAAUCGUGCGAUUUUGGCACGAUGCGAUUUUGAGAAAAUUAUACCAAGCGAAACAAGUGAACACCAAUCAGAUUAACAGACUUGAAUCGUUUUAUUUUUGCUACCUUGGAUGCUGUAAAUUACGAUAAUCUGUGGGUUUUUUUCUAUAUAUUUUAUUGUCGAUUAAAAUGUAGUGGUUCGUUUGCUCGACGAGAUAUAUCAUUCUUUUCUCUUGUCAAGCGGUAAAAUGCUCAUUUCUCUGUGAGUUCGGUGACUUUGCUUCAAAAAUCGGUCGUGCAUGAUUUUAUUGGAAUAUUUACAAUUUAUUCAUCAUUCGAAAUUGAGAAGAAAAAAUGAAAACAAUUCCGAUUGAAACAAAGAAAAACCGUUUUCAGGGAACUGUGUCAGUUGUUGUAUGACUCAAGCCAUCGUCAUAGUUUCACAAUGAAAAAACGCAAUUACGUGUAUGUGGCUGGCAACAAGUACAAAUAUUUUUGAAGACGUUGCAUAUUAAAAUUGUGACUUGAAGUGCUAAAUGUUUUUAUGGUCAUAUCAAAUGGCAAAAUUAUUUCAAAUAAAAUGAAAUUUGUUAUAACACUUCUUCCCCUUUAAAUCAAUCAAGAGAAAAACCAAGUCAAUUUUCGGCUGUGGGAAUAAUGGGCCGGAAUUUGUUUCAUUGGAAAGGGUUUUUAAAAUAGUUUCCGUCACAUGGUGGUGCAUUCAUAACAUAACAAUGUAGUUCAUGCGAUGAUAUAGAAUGAAACAUCUGAAAUCGAGUUGCCAACAUUGUUACAGUUUAUUUAGUUCCGUUCGUUUAUUUAUUCGAGGCCACAUCGGAAGUGAAAUUCGUUUAAAAAUUGAAAAUUUUUGUAUCGAAAUUGAAUUUUAGCUAUGAAAUCGACAUGAAUUAUAACGGCAAUACAACCGUCGAGAAAAACAACUUGGCUGGCUAUUAGCAAUGCAUAUGAAUCGCAACAUUUGCAUGACAAUGUCAUUCUGUGCAAGGCGCCACCAAAAUAGAGCAGAAAGACACCGGUUAAACGGGGCGAUUCGAUCGAUUGAUUUAUAUUUUAAAUUUUUCAUCGAUUUGUGUUUGUUCAAAAAAAAAAACACACCAUACACCUUUGUGAAUGUGCAUGAAUGACGGCGUCAACACGUUUGAUCGCUGUGCCCGCAUUUAUCGCUCGAAACAAUGAAUAUACGUGUGUGUGGAAAGGUACGAGUGAUACCUUUUUGCACUGCUUUUUUCUUCUUAUUCGCAUUGUUUGUUUUAUCUAUACUCGUUACGUACACACUCAUGUGAUCGAUGUAUGAGUCUCAAUUGAUUCUAGAACCAACUGAGACGAAUGAUGAUAAAUGAUCGUAAGUGUGAGCGGCAGUAGCAAGGUCAAUGAGCAGAGCAGCAUCCUUGUGACAUGUAAUCGAAUAACAUACAAAUUUAAUGCCAUAUUCACGGUUUACAUGUUCGAUUCAGUGAAACGCGCGCAUUCAUAAAGUUGAUUCUCGUGAGGGUAAUUCGAUGCAUGUGAAUUUGAUAUUCGAUUUUCGUGCGCCGUUUGCCUUGUUGUCGCUUUUUUCUCAGGUACACAGACAUAAGAAAAAUAACGAUUACGCAAAAUUCAGUAGCCGUUCAUGUCGUACGAUGAAACAUUUAGCAAGUUGACUAUAAAGAAACAAACGAACUUAUCACAAUGCGACCAAGUUAGAUAACUCGACAAAAUGAUAACUAAAUGAUUAGUACCACUGGGUUAUUUCCAUAUGGUAAGCUCAGUAUCCAUUGCUCGAAGAUGAUUAAUUAGUUCUCGGUAGCAGCAAAAUUCCGUGUAAAGACGCAAAAUGGGCAAGAACGUUCACAAAAUGCCGUUGUUUGUUUGUUGUUUGCAAAGGUAGCUCCGUUUUUGCAAGUCUGAUGAGAAUAUUCUUUUCCAUAUCGCUAUUCAUUCAUACGGCUGAAUAUUGUUGAUUCUUUUUUGCGAUUUUCGAUCGAAUCAUCUCACUCAACUAUGUAUUUCGUUCAUAGACAGUCAAGACAUGUUUGAAUUGGAAUACCCUCUUGUUGAUACAAUUCUAAAUGGUGAUAUUCAUUAAUGUAUACGCAUAGCGUAUAUACGAUGACAACACACUUAUAGCUAGCUGCUCAGUCUAACUCAAUUAUUCCAUAUAUUAUCUUCGUUAAUUAGUCAUCAAGUUACAUGAAUUGGGCGAAGCGAAGCUUGGUGUUUUUCAGUUCCAAAGUCGCGAUUGCAUCAGCAAUAAAACCGGUAUUGAUAUAGCGGCUACUAUGACACAGAAAAAGUGCAUUUGAUUUGUUUUUUAAAUCAAAAAUUAAGUCGCCUUAGUUGCGCUUUUGUCUAUUUUCCAUCAUUUUUAUUAUUAUUAUCGUAAUUAGCGCACGAUUCGAGCUUAAUUCCCGUAAUGAGUCAGUCGAAGCAUUUCAAGUACGUCAAAAAUCAAUACUGUGCAAAGUGCAAAGUUGCAAUGAUUCCGUGCGGACUUCCUUUCGCAUUCGACUCAAAAUAAAUCCGAACGUUUCCUUCGCAAUUACGAACACUCGGGGUCUUGGGCAUUGGCAUUAUCGGGGGACAAAAAAAGAAAUCUUUUUAUCGCAUAAAAGGAAAUGAAAUGACAACGACCUCCUUUUUCUGCACACACUGCGCUCUGCACAACGUGCCAUACGUGGUCAAAUGUGCUUAACUUUAUUUUAAACGAUUGUUUUCCCGCACAUUUUUAUUGAAAUAGUGGCACUAUGGCAAGUGAAAAAAACAGACAAUCGUCGGCCACAACAUGGCUGUGCAAUGGCAGCUCCACAAUUUUUGAAUGUGCUUUUUAAUUGUGCGGUGUGGGCAACGUGAUCGUAAUAUGCAAACAGACGAUGGCGAGAUCAAGUUGACAAGAUACACACACGCUCACGUACAAGUUCGCCGAAACUGACAACGGGAAACCAACAAAGGAAGUUAAAAGAAAGUCACACACAUUGCAUGUGGCCAAUUUGUAUGUUUCUCUAUGUACUAUAUUCAGCUAGGCGCGUCGUCUAUUUUGUAUUUCACGCAACAACAACAAAAAAGAGAAAAUAAAAGAGCUUAAAAAUAGUAUGGAAACAUUCGCGAAGAAUCACAACACACCAAUUUUAGUGAGGGCAUUUGCUUUUUAUGCUUUGCAAAGGGGGGAAAGAAAGAGAUAGAGAGAUAGAGAGAGAAAGAGAGAGAGUGCGAGAAAUAAUAAGAAGAAAAA
Long non-coding RNA from Sitodiplosis mosellana (orange wheat blossom midge), 4048 nucleotides. RefSeq lists it as uncharacterized. The transcript is spliced from 2 exons. The record is from RefSeq and is a predicted model, not a curated record. NCBI's taxonomy places the organism in Eukaryota, Metazoa, Arthropoda, Insecta, Diptera, Cecidomyiidae.